AUACUUACCUGGCAGGGGAGAUACCAUGAUCACGAAGGUGGUUUUCCCAGAGUGAGGCUUAUCCAUUGCCCUCCGGAUGUGCUGACCCCUGCGAUUUCCCCAAAUGUGGGAAACUCGACUGCAUAAUUUGUGGUUCACACUUUCCUCCGGAAAAAA
This is a small nuclear RNA of Theropithecus gelada (gelada), 156 nucleotides long. Its record names the gene U1. It matches the Rfam family "U1 spliceosomal RNA". From Rfam's summary of the family: U1 is a small nuclear RNA (snRNA) component of the spliceosome (involved in pre-mRNA splicing). Its 5' end forms complementary base pairs with the 5' splice junction, thus defining the 5' donor site of an intron. There are significant differences in sequence and secondary structure between metazoan and yeast U1 snRNAs, the latter being much longer (568 nucleotides as compared to 164 nucleotides in human). Lineage: Eukaryota; Metazoa; Chordata; Mammalia; Primates; Cercopithecidae. The record is from Ensembl.